GAUGAACGCUGGCGGCGUGCCUAAUACAUGCAAGUCGAGCGAACAGACGAGGAGCUUGCUCCUCUGACGUUAGCGGCGGACGGGUGAGUAACACGUGGAUAACCUACCUAUAAGACUGGGAUAACUUCGGGAAACCGGAGCUAAUACCGGAUAAUAUAUUGAACCGCAUGGUUCAAUAGUGAAAGACGGUUUUGGUGUCACAUAUAGAUGGAUCCGCGCGGCAUUAUCUAGUUGGCAAGGUAACGGCUUUCCAAGGCAACAAUGCGUAGCCGACGCGAGGGGGUGUACGGCCACAGUGGAACUGAGACACGGUCCAGACUCCGAGGGGAGGCAGAAGUAGGUACUCUUCCGAAAUGGGCGAAAGCCUGACGGAGCAACGCAGCGUGAGUGAUGAAGGUCUGCGGAUCGUAAAACUCUGUUAUUAGGGAAGAACAAAUGUGUAAGUAACGAUGCAUGUCUGGACGGAACCUAAACAGAAAGCCACGGCUAAUUACGG
Molecule: ribosomal RNA, 496 nt
Filed under: uncultured bacterium
Lineage: Bacteria
Description: partial 16S ribosomal RNA
Rfam family: Bacterial small subunit ribosomal RNA
Source: RNAcentral